RNAcentral lists this ribosomal RNA (800 nucleotides) under uncultured bacterium. RNAcentral describes it as "bacterial SSU rRNA". It matches the Rfam family "Bacterial small subunit ribosomal RNA", at positions 8 to 800 of the family's 1533-position model. The record is from RNAcentral.
AGAGUUUGAUCAUGGCUCAGAGUGAACGCUGGCGGCAGGCCUAACACAUGCAAGUCGAACGGCAGCACAGGGGUGCUUGCUCCCUGGGUGGCGAGUGGCGGACGGGUGAGGAAUACAUCGGAAUCUACCUUGUCGUGGGGGAUAACCUCGGGAAACCGGGACUAAUACCGCAUACGACCUACGGGUGAAAGCGGAGGACCGCAAGGCUUCGCGCGAUUGGAUGAGCCGAUGUCGGAUUAGCUUGUUGGCGGGGUAACGGCCCACCAAGGCGACGAUCCGUAGCUGGUCUGAGAGGAUGAUCAGCCACACUGGAACUGAGACACGGUCCAGACUCCUACGGGAGGCAGCAGUGGGGAAUAUUGGACAAUGGGCGCAAGCCUGAUCCAGCCAUGCCGCGUGAGUGAAGAAGGCCCUCGGGUUGUAAAGCUCUUUUGUCCGGAAAGAAAAGCUUUCGGUUAAUACCCGGAAGUCCUGACGGUACCGGAAGAAUAAGCACCGGCUAACUUCGUGCCAGCAGCCGCGGUAAUACGAAGGGUGCAAGCGUUACUCGGAAUUACUGGGCGUAAAGCGUGCGUACGUGGUUUGGUAAGUCUGAUGUGAAAGCCCUGGGCUCAACCUGGGAAUUGCACUGGAUACUGGCAGGCUAGAGUGCGGUAGUAGGAUGGCGGAAUUCCCGGUGUAGUAGUGACUGCGUCAAGAUCGGGACGACCAUCGGUGGCGAUCGCUGUCUUCUCGACCAGCGCUCGACGCUGAGCAUGAAAGUGUGCGCAGCAAGCAGAUUACAUACCUGGUAUCCCCGC